AGAUUGAACGCUGGCGGCAUGCCUUACACAUGCAAGUCGAACGGCAGCACGGGAGCAAUCCUGGUGGCGAGUGGCGAACGGGUGAGUAAUACAUCGGAACGUGCCCAGUUGUGGGGGAUAGCCCGGCGAAAGCCGGAUUAAUACCGCAUACGACCUACGGGUGAAAGCGGGGGAUCGCAAGACCUCGCGCUAUUGGAGCGGCCGAUGUCGGAUUAGCUUGUUGGUAGGGUAAAAGCCUACCAAGGCUACGAUCCGUAGCUGGUCUGAGAGGACGACCAGCCACACUGGGACUGAGACACGGCCCAGACUCCUACGGGAGGCAGCAGUGGGGAAUUUGGACAAUGGGCGAAAGCCUGAUCCAGCCAUGCCGCGUGCGGGAAGAAGGCCUUCGGGUUGUAAACCGCUUUUGUCAAGGGAAGAAACGGUUCGAGCUAAUAUCUCGGACUAAUGACGGUACCUGAAGAAUAAGCACCGGACUAACUACGUGCCAGCAGCCGCGGUAAUCGUGA
This 509-nucleotide ribosomal RNA is filed under the name uncultured soil bacterium. RNAcentral describes it as "bacterial SSU rRNA". It matches the Rfam family "Bacterial small subunit ribosomal RNA", at positions 26 to 530 of the family's 1533-position model. The record is from RNAcentral.